CCUGAUUCGAUGUCGUUGCAUCGCACAAAUGUGGCCUCAACUUAUUCUUCCACACUUCCUCGAAAGCAACCGCGUCCCCACCAAACCUCUUCACCUCGACCACAACCAUCUCAGCGGUUAAUCGGUAAAUCUCAAUCCCAAUCACCAAAUCCCCAUUCUGCUCUUCAAUUUCCACCCCACAUUCCUUCUUCCUCCUCACCACAAGUCCCUCUGCCUUCGCGGCCGCCUCAGCCUUCUCCACAACCUUCUCCGGUAACUCCCUCAACAUAAACCUCUCACCUUCACCACCAUCAAUAAAAAACCCUGAAAGAUUCAACCCUCUAGAGAAAAACGAUAUAAUAUCAAACGCAUUGAAAUCCAACGGUUUUCCCUCUUCUUCCCCAUUAUUAACCUUCUUCUCAAA
This 403-nucleotide long non-coding RNA is filed under the name Medicago truncatula (barrel medic). RNAcentral's name for it is "lncRNA gene32163". The record is from RNAcentral. Lineage: Eukaryota; Viridiplantae; Streptophyta; Magnoliopsida; Fabales; Fabaceae.